This 253-nucleotide ribosomal RNA is filed under the name uncultured bacterium. Its description in RNAcentral is "partial 16S ribosomal RNA". It matches the Rfam family "Bacterial small subunit ribosomal RNA", at positions 524 to 776 of the family's 1533-position model. The record is from RNAcentral.
UACGUAGGGAGCAAGCGUUGUUCGGAUUUACUGGGCGUAAAGGGCGCGUAGGCGGCAAAUUAAGUCAGCUGUGAAAUCUCCGAGCUUAGCUCGGAACGGUCAGCUGAUACUGAUCUGCUAGAGUGCGGAAGGGGCAAUCGGAAUUCUUGGUGUAGCGGUGAAAUGCGUAGAUAUCAGGAGGAACACCGGUGGCGAAGGCGGAUCUCUGGGCCAUUACUGACGCUGAGGAGCGAAAGCGUGGGGAGCGAACAGG